CGGCAACAGCUCAAAUUUGAAAUCUGGCCCUCUCAGGGUCCGAGUUGUAAUUUGGAGAGGAUGCUUCGGGUGUGGCCCCGGUCUAAGUUCCUUGGAACAGGACGUCACAGAGGGUGAGAAUCCCGUCUGGAGCCGUGGUAGGGCUUAUGUGAAACUCCUUCGAC
RNAcentral lists this ribosomal RNA (164 nucleotides) under Myxotrichaceae sp. RNAcentral's name for it is "partial large subunit ribosomal RNA". It matches the Rfam family "Eukaryotic large subunit ribosomal RNA", at positions 99 to 261 of the family's 3401-position model. The record is from RNAcentral. Lineage: Eukaryota; Fungi; Ascomycota; Leotiomycetes; Myxotrichaceae.